This 2366-nucleotide long non-coding RNA is filed under the name Aquilegia coerulea. Its description in RNAcentral is "long non-coding RNA (ACOE_LNC002268)". The record is from RNAcentral. Lineage: Eukaryota; Viridiplantae; Streptophyta; Magnoliopsida; Ranunculales; Ranunculaceae.
AUGACUAAAACCUGGACACAUAAUAAAUAUAAUUGUUGAAGCAAAAAUAAAAAAAUUAAAAAGAAUGACAAUGAGUUAGAAAAAUUAAUUUGAACUUACAUAAAUGCAAAUCUGCUUCGAACUAGUUAUCCAUACUCCACAAUAGCUAAUAAUUAAGAUUUGGAGAUUACUCUGUUCAAAAUAACAUACCAUGUGAUCAAAAAAUGGUAUUGAUAAGUAAAGAAAAUGAUUAAAGAAAAAAGAACAUAAUAUACUAAAUAAGAAUAUGCUUGUUCUGAUCUCUUUGACUCACAGGACGGCUAAAGGAAAAAAAUAAAAUCAAACAAAGAAGAACUUUAGGUUUUUUACCUCUUGCUCUUAGUUAUAAAGAAAAGGAAAAUUAUAUUUUUAACCAACAGUGUCCUAAACUUUAAGGGCAUAUAAUGUAAAAAUGAAAAAUACAUGUAAUGUAAUAGAGAGCUUGAAUAGGGUCGGGUUACGGGCUAGGGUUAUGUUUUUGAAAUUAAACCCAGACUGGACCAUUGCUAUUAACAGCCGGGCUAUUUGUUGUUCACCACCAUUAAAAUAGAAUUUUUUUAGUUUUAAUAAAAUACUAUUCACAACCUUAUUUGUCUAUUCUCAACCAUAAUGUUUUGGUCAUCUUCUUCAAAUCCACGAUUCCCAACCAUAUUGAUUCUUCACUUUCUUCUAUUAAAUAAAUUAAAUUGUGUAACUGUAUAUAAGAAAGAAUGGUACAUCGAAGAAUAAAAUAAAUAAGAGAAGUGAUAAUGAAUUAAAAUUGGGUUUAAUAAAAACAAUUGUUUGUAAAAUUAUUCAUAAAAGAAAAUCAUCACUACCUCUUGUACAAGAAAACUAUGAAAAUUUACCAUGCUCAUGAAAUCUCCAAGGGUGUGUAAGAAAUCUUAUUCGCUUAAUGAUUUACUUUGCUUUAUCAUUGAAGUGUUAAACUAUAAAUCACCUCAACGACUAACUAUAAAUCUUUUAGAGGGGCAGAGUAGUAAUUACAUAGUAAAAUAAGAAGAGAACUCAAUUCUCCGUCAAAUCUCCCUCUCACUUCGUGUCUUCUUCUCCGACCAUAAAAUUUUAAUUCCAUCCUGUAUCCUCCAUAUUCAGCGGUAAACUGUUUUACCGCUCGAAUCAAACUGACCCUAAAUUCCAUUUGAUUUUUUUUGUCUUUUUUUUUGAGAAAAUCCACCAGAUUUCCCACGGCCAACAGCAGUAGCUAAUUUAAUUUUUAAUUAAACAAAUUCAAGAUUUUCCACAGUUGAUAGCAGUAGCAAAUUUACCUAGGCCUACGGGCGGGACCGUGGCUAACAUAGUAUGGUUGCCACAGACCCAAACCGUGGCAAACAAUUUAGCUACCCCUGAAACCCCACGGUCUUGCCCCUGAUUUAGACCGUGGCUAAUCACGUUUUGCCACCGUUCUGGUCUGUGGCGAAUUUACAGUAUUCUUGUAGUGAUUGUGCAUACCUUCAGCAGUAGCAGCUGAAAUUGAUCUUCAGUAGUUGUAUACCAACAUUGAGAAUUCUCUUUAACUGGACUCUCAUCCGCAGUGGCUUAGCAACAUCAACAUCCCUCAUCUUGAUGAUGAACCACUUCCAAAGAUUCAUCUUGACUUGAUGAAGCUUGGGUACCUCUAUCCAUCACAGUGUAUAUUCACUUUAGGAAAACAAGUCUGCAAGUAGGAAACAACCCCAAAACAAAAUUAAACAGAGUAAAUGAAAUGAUAAUGAAAUAAAAACCCAAUUUUGAUUUUCAAAGUAAGAAAAAAAAAGAUGGGAAAACACACCAAAAUGUGGAGUAAAGAACAAGCAAAACUCAUACCCGAAUCUUCAUAAACUCUUCUUCAUAUUCUACAAAUUAAAGAAAAAUCAAAACAUAAAAACAAAAUCCCAAAAUCCACUUUGUACAAGAGCUGCAGCCAGCAAUGUCCUUGACAGCAUUAAAAUGAAGCUUACCAGUUGGAAAGGUCGACACCUUUCUUUUCAAGGAAGAGCCAUUAUGAUUAGAUCUGUUCUUGCUAGAUCAACAAUUUAUAACAUGGCAAUCUAUAGAUGGCCAAUGAGCAUCAUCAGAGAAACAUAAUAUGUUAUGCGAAACUUUCUUUGGUCUGGGGAUCCAUCUUCACCUAGGAAAAUUACAAUAGCAUGGAGUAAAGUCUGCAAACCACUUUGUGAAGGGGGUCUGGUAUCAAGAGUCUAAGAGAGAUGAAUACAACAAUGUUGAUGAAGUUGGGAUGGCACAUUCUCAGUGGAUCAGAUAAUUUUGCUUCCUUUAUGCAACGCAAGUUUUUUACUAGGAAUGGUGAUAUGAUUCAGUUCCAUAGACACUCCACCAUUUGGUCUGGCAUCAAAGAAACUAUUCCA